This 71-nucleotide transfer RNA is filed under the name Ignavibacteria bacterium GWA2_35_8. Its description in RNAcentral is "tRNA-Cys". It matches the Rfam family "tRNA". Rfam says of the family: Transfer RNA (tRNA) molecules are approximately 80 nucleotides in length. Their secondary structure includes four short double-helical elements and three loops (D, anti-codon, and T loops). Further hydrogen bonds mediate the characteristic L-shaped molecular structure. tRNAs have two regions of fundamental functional importance: the anti-codon, which is responsible for specific mRNA codon recognition, and the 3' end, to which the tRNAs corresponding amino acid is attached (by aminoacyl-tRNA synthetases). tRNAs cope with the degeneracy of the genetic code in two manners: having more than one tRNA (with a specific anti-codon) for a particular amino acid; and 'wobble' base-pairing, i.e. permitting non-standard base-pairing at the 3rd anti-codon position. The record is from RNAcentral. RNAcentral also lists the same sequence under 6 other names. Lineage: Bacteria; Pseudomonadati; Ignavibacteriota; Ignavibacteria.
GGUGCCUUGGCCGAGUGGUUAGGCAGAGGUCUGCAAAACCUCCUACGUUGGUUCGAUUCCGACAGGCACCU